Non-coding RNA from Podarcis lilfordi (Lilford's wall lizard), 71 nucleotides. The record is from the annotation of a GenBank genome assembly. NCBI's taxonomy places the organism in Eukaryota, Metazoa, Chordata, Lepidosauria, Squamata, Lacertidae.
GCUAUAGCUCAGUUGGUUAGAGCAUCGUGCUGAUAACAUCAAGGUUGCAGCUUUGAUCCCUGUAUGGAACA